This 253-nucleotide ribosomal RNA is filed under the name uncultured bacterium. RNAcentral describes it as "partial 16S ribosomal RNA". It matches the Rfam family "Bacterial small subunit ribosomal RNA", at positions 524 to 776 of the family's 1533-position model. The record is from RNAcentral.
UACGUAGGGUGCGAGCGUUGUCCGGAAUUAUUGGGCGUAAAGAGCUCGUAGGCGGUUUGUCGCGUCUGCUGUGAAAUCCCGAGGCUCAACCUCGGGCCUGCAGUGGGUACGGGCAGACUAGAGUGCGGUAGGGGAGAUUGGAAUUCCUGGUGUAGCGGUGGAAUGCGCAGAUAUCAGGAGGAACACCGGUGGCGAAGGCGGGUCUCUGGGCCGUUACUGACGCUGAGGAGCGAAAGCAUGGGGAGCGAACAGG